RNAcentral lists this ribosomal RNA (253 nucleotides) under uncultured bacterium. RNAcentral's name for it is "partial 16S ribosomal RNA". It matches the Rfam family "Bacterial small subunit ribosomal RNA", at positions 524 to 776 of the family's 1533-position model. The record is from RNAcentral.
UACAGAGGUCUCAAGCGUUGUUCGGAUUCAUUGGGCGUAAAGGGUGCGUAGGUGGCGCUGUAAGUCGGGUGUGAAAUUUCGGAGCUUAACUCCGAAACUGCAUUCGAUACUGCGGUGCUUGAGGACUGGAGAGGAGACUGGAAUUCAUGGUGUAGCAGUGAAAUGCGUAGAUAUCGAGAGGAACACCAGUGGCGAAGGCGAGUCCCUGGACAACUCCUGACGCUGAGGCACGAAAGCUAGGGGAGCAAACAGG